This is a non-coding RNA of Oryctolagus cuniculus (rabbit), 2044 nucleotides long. The record is from RefSeq and is a predicted model, not a curated record. Lineage: Eukaryota; Metazoa; Chordata; Mammalia; Lagomorpha; Leporidae.
UCAACCUAACAAAAAUAAAAAAUAUUAUACAAAUGGAAGUAAGACUGUGGGGGAUUGUGAUUUUAUUUUUCUAUUAAACAUACUUUUGGGUAUUUUGUCGCUUUUGGUAAAAAUCACCAGCUACCCAAAAAAUCCUUGUCAUAUUUUAAGCUCCCAUAAUCUAAACAAAGAAGAUUCUGAAUACUAAGGCUCUUUUAAACUACAAAUAUUACAUUUGCUUUGAAUAGAAACUAUCCCAUAAAAAGGAAGUAGAUAAAAUAAAACCAGGGAAAGACAUUAAGAAAAACAUGUCAGAUAGCAAUGGGGGGAAUAAGACAAACGAGAGAUAUGCUAAUGCACCUAGGAAAUAAGAUGAAGUGUAUGCACAAAACCGUAGAGAACAUCAUAGAGUGAAUUAAUGUUCUUUAUAAUUCAAGCAAAGUAUGUAUUACUCUAUAUAUAACUUUUUUCCAACAUUAAUUACAAAUUCAAUCAAGUUAUCCCAAAUCGUACACCAUCCAUUCUGUCUUGCUUUGUUCUACUACAAAUUCUAUUUUUAAAGAUUUAUUUAUUUAUUUGAAAGGCAGAGUUACAGAAAGAGAUAGGAGAGACAGAGAGAGAGAGACAGACAGACAGAUCAUCCAUCUACUGGUUCACUCCCCAAAUGGCCCCAACAACUGGAGAAGGGCUGGACUAGACCAAAGCCAGGAGCCAGGAGCCAGGAGCUACUUCCAGGUCUCUUACAUGUGGUUGAAGGGGCUAAAGGCCUUGGGCCAUCUUCUGCUGCUUUCCCAGGCGCAUUAGUAAGAAGCUAGAUUGGAAGUGGAGCAUCCGAGACACAAACGGGCACCCAUAUAGGACACCAGUGCUGCAGGCAGUGGUUCAAUCCACUGUGCCACAGCACCAGCCCUUCUACUACAAAUUCUAUAGAAAUUUGUAUUUGUGAAGCCGAUGUUGUGGCAAAACAAGCUUCCUAGCCACAGUGUCAGAUGGUAUUAUUCAGAAAGUUAUAUUCUCUAAACCAGAACCAUAAAUCAAUAUCUGGCUCUAUCACACUAAUAACUAAUAGAUACAGGAGCCAAGAGAUAAGGGAGAAAACAGGAGUCCUCAUAAGUAUUCCUUUCUCACAAUGUGUAUAUAUUCUGCUUUUUGUUCCCAUUAUUCUACUAUAUUCUACUAGGUUGGAAUUCACAGUAGGCAGGGAAAAAAAUGUUUCUACCUGGGAAAGGAAGAGAACACGAACUGAAAUUACCACUCAGUUAUAUUAAGUUUUUCAUCCUUCUACAUAUUCCCAGGGAAUCCACUGUACUGACCAACUAACUGACUAUCAAGAGAGAUAUGGAUAUUAUAUACAAAAUGCAAACAACAAGGAAUACAUGGAAGACCCUGGGAGACAAUGGUAAUCACUCAAGUAAUUGGGUUCCUGCCACCCACAUUGGAGACUUGGAUUGCAUUCCCAGUUCCUAGCAUCAGCCCAGCUCAGCUCCAGUAACUAUGGGUAUCUGGGAGUGAAUCAGCAGGGAAAUCAAUAAAGAGAUCAGGAAAAAUGUGCAUUACUCAAAACCAAAAAAAAUACAAACAAGAAUUGUAGCAACAAGGCAGCUGAAUAAUGCUCCAGUGACUAUCUCCCCCAAGAAAGAUACCAAUUUAAACAGCUAUGAACACAUGAAGCACAAAGUCAUCUUCACAACAGUUACAGAAGCCAGGUGAGAAACCACAGUGCCUGGUUUUAGUAUGGUAAUAAAAAAAAAAGCCUGCAGGAGCCGGUGCUGUGGCUUAGCGGGUAAAGCUGCCACCUGCAGUGCCAGCAUUCCAUAUGGGUGCUGCUUCAAAUCCCAGCUGCUCCAAUCCAAUCAAGCUCUCUGCUGUGGCCUGGGAAAGCAGUAGAAGAUGGCCCAAGUCCUUGGGCCCCUGCACCCACGUGGGAGACCCGAAGAAGCUCCUAGGCUCCUAGCUUCAGAUCGGCCUAGCUCCAGACACUGCAGCCAACUGGGGAGUGAACCAACGGAUGGAAGACCUUUCUCUCUCUGCCUCUCCUUUCUCUGUGUACCUCUGCCUUUCAAAU